This is a non-coding RNA of Pelobates cultripes (western spadefoot toad), 218 nucleotides long. Lineage: Eukaryota; Metazoa; Chordata; Amphibia; Anura; Pelobatidae. The record is from the annotation of a GenBank genome assembly.
GAUUCCUUAUAGACUGGGGAAAGGUAUUCUUAACCGUUUUCAAACUCUGAUUUCCAAAUGUAUUUGGGCAAAUAAACCACCUAGGAUAGCUUUUGACACUCUUCGAAGGAGCUAUCAGAAGGGUGGUAUAGCAUUUCCAGAUGUCGAUAAAAUCCAUGAAGCAUGUAUGGCGACUCAUCUUUUACAGUGGCUAGACAAGGAACAGGGAUAUAAAUCAU